GGACGAACGCUGGCGGCGUGCUUAACACAUGCAAGUCGAACGGAAAGGCCCUGCUUUUGUGGGGUGCUCGGGUGGCGAACGGGUGAGUAACACGUGAGUAACCUGCCCUUGACUUUGGGAUAACUUCAGGAAACUGGGGCUAAUACCGGAUAGGAGCUCCUGCUGCAUGGGGGGGGUUGGAAAGUUUCGGCGGUUGGGGAUGGACUCGCGGCUUAUCAGCUUGUUGGUGGGGUAGUGGCUUACCAAGGCUUUGACGGGUAGCCGGCCUGAGAGGGUGACCGGCCACAUUGGGACUGAGAUACGGCCCAGACUCCUACGGGAGGCAGCAGGGGGGAAUAUUGCACAAUGGGCGGAAGCCUGAUGCAGCAACGCCGCGUGCGGGAUGACGGCCUUCGGGUUGUAAACCGCUUUCGCCUGUGACGAAGCGUGAGUGACGGUAAUGGGUAAAGAAGCACCGGCUAACUACGUG
Molecule: ribosomal RNA, 469 nt
Filed under: uncultured bacterium
Lineage: Bacteria
Description: partial 16S ribosomal RNA
Rfam family: Bacterial small subunit ribosomal RNA
Source: RNAcentral